UCAGAUGAGAGGAGCAAAAGGAGGUGGUGAAUGAUUACACAACCUUCAGAUGCUUCCAGUUAAUGCUUCACAAAUUAUAUCAAGCAGAUGGCAACCUUCACACGUUUGAGGACCUAAAUACAGAGCUAAUUGCAAGCUAGUGUGACGAAGGUCCUAAAAUUUGGACAUCUCAUAAGAACAUUUCUGUGUUAUGCAUAGUGAGAAAGAAGCAGUGAUUAUCAAUGCUGCCCACACAUUUGAAUCAUGGCGCUUGGUAGUGGACCCUAGCCCAGUUGAAUCUUCAGAUAAGAGUCCAGCCCUGGUCAACACCACGAUGCAGACUCAUGAGAGACCCUGAAGCAGAAGGCAGAGCUAAGCAGUGUCCAGAUUCCUGAUCCACAAAACCUGUGAGAUAAUAGAUAUGGGUUGU
Long non-coding RNA from Sciurus carolinensis (gray squirrel), 409 nucleotides. RefSeq lists it as uncharacterized. The record is from RefSeq and is a predicted model, not a curated record. Lineage: Eukaryota; Metazoa; Chordata; Mammalia; Rodentia; Sciuridae. The transcript is spliced from 3 exons.